AAACUGGAGAGUUUGAUCCUGGCUCAGAGCGAACGCUAGCGGCGGGCCUAACACAUGCAAGUCGAGCGGGGACCUUCGGGUCUUUAGCGGCGGACGGGUGAGUAACACGUAGGUAAUGUGUCCUCUGGUGGGGAAUAACCGUGGGAAACCAUGGCUAAUACCGCAUAUCGUGCUUCGGCGUGAAAGCCCUCGAGUGAAAUCGAAGGCGCCAGUUGAGCAGCCUGCGUCCCAUUAUUUAGUCCUAGUUGGUGGGGUAAUGGCCUACCAAGGGUACGAUGGGUAGCUGGUCUGAGAGGAUGAUCAGCCACACUGGAACUGAGACACGGUCCAGUCUACUACGGGAGGCAGCAGUAAGGUAUAUUGCUCAAUGGGAGAAAUCCUGAUGCAGCGACGCCGCGUGUGGGAAGAAGGAGCUUAGCUUCGUAAACCACUGUCGGAGGGGACGAAUGGUAGGUUAGACCUACUGAGACGGUACCCUCAAAGGAAGGGUCGGCUAACUACGUGCCAGCAGCCGCGGUAAUACGUAGGACCCAAGCGUUGUCCGGAUUUACUGGGUGUAAAGGGAGCGCAGGCGGAUUAUUAAGUCGAUUGUGAAAUCUUGCGGCUCAACCGCAAAACAGCAGUCGAUACUGAUGAUCUUGAGUGUGGAAGAGAGUGGCGGAAUUCAUGGUGUAGCAGUGAAAUGCGUAGAUAUCAUGAAGAACACCGGUUGCGAAGGCGGCCACUUAGUCCAUUACUGACGCUCAUGCUCGAAAGCGUGGGGAUCAAACAGGAUUAGAUACCCUGGUAGUCCAUGCCCUAAACGAUGAUCACUUGAUGUCGGCCCUCAGGGUCGGUGUCGUAGCUAACGCGUUAAGUGAUCCACCUGGGGAGUACGCUCGCAAGGGUGAAACUCAAAGGAAUUGACGGGGGCCCGCACAAGCA
Molecule: ribosomal RNA, 924 nt
Filed under: Pseudomonadota bacterium
Lineage: Bacteria; Pseudomonadati; Pseudomonadota
Description: bacterial SSU rRNA
Rfam family: Bacterial small subunit ribosomal RNA
Source: RNAcentral